GCUCCUUCCAAGUGUAUUUAUAAAUGCUAAAUGGCCCGGGAAAGUGCUGAGAGAUUUCUCAAGCUCAGAUCCUCAUUUUCUCUUGUGCGGUCAGCCCUGGGACAGCUCUGGAAAACAAGGCAGCCAUUUUCUCAUCAGCUGUUACACUCUGCAAACCAGAUUGAAGCGCUCGAUAAGCUGCUGUUCUCUUCCGUGCCUGCAGCCACCGGAGGGGAAAAACAACCCAUCACCCACCAACAGGUACAACCACAGCCAUUGCUGUACUUGCCUGGUAUGAGUCAGGGCACAGAUGGGGCCAGGGGAGGGGAGGGAUGGGGUGGCUGGGAUGCAAACACAUCCCUAAGCACGGCCAGCGCCUGUCCUACCUCAGCUGCUGAUCCCACCCGUCAUCCCACAUUACAGACCCUGGUUUGCAUUUCCAAAAAUUAACUGUCUCUGUUAAAAAAUACUUUGCUUUUGCAGAACCUGUGGGUCUAAGAUACCGCAUCGUGCACGCUGUGAAAAUGCCUCCAAAACUUGGGAUCAGCAUGGGAAGAAAGUGUGUUUAAUGUGCAGUCAGCAGUCACAGACACACACACAGAUGGCCUUCAAAAGCAAGUACAACACAGAACAAUGAAGAGAUGAGUUCAUUAGCUGUACUGCAAAAGAAGUAAUCCCAUAUAACAUGCAUUAGUAGUGAAAAGUUGCAAGGGCUUGUGUAAAAUACACUGCUAUACUGUUGACUGAAUGGCAGUAGUCAAAACAUGGAGGAUCAAGUGUUGCAGUCCUCUUAGACAGACAUUAUGGAACCUGCGCAAGGUAUUUAAUUUGAUCUCUUUGUUCAAGUCAGUGGCAUUUGCCUUCAUUCACAUUCGGCAAGUUAUUCAUCUAAAAAAGCUACAAUUCUUUCAUGUCUUCUUUCCUCCCAAACUCCAUUUGUUCUUCUGUAGAAUUAUUGCCAUUAAUAAAAUGUUGUGUUUAGACGAGCUGUGAUACUGCCAGCCAGUUUUAUUGCAGA
This is a long non-coding RNA of Columba livia (rock pigeon), 997 nucleotides long. RefSeq lists it as uncharacterized. The transcript has 3 exons. The record is from RefSeq and is a predicted model, not a curated record. Lineage: Eukaryota; Metazoa; Chordata; Aves; Columbiformes; Columbidae.